UACUAGCCAUAAACCAUAACCUAGUCCCACUCUAGCACCAAACCUAAUCCAAGCCAACCCCAAACCUAACCUUAGCCCUGGGCCUUAACCUAGUCCCACUCUAAAUCCAAACCUAACCAAACCCACACUAACCCCAAACCUACAUAUUCCUGAUCAUUACCCGAACCCACUACUGACCCUAAACCUGAAAAAGCCUGGCUAAUCAGAAAAAAUCAUUUGUUUUAAAAAAAUAAAGAAAAAAGGUUCUUGUAAACCCUGCAUAAUAACUGGUGAUUUUCAGAUUAGCAUUCUCUCAGGUGGAACACAAGAAACAAAUAUUUGAAAGAUGGGAUUCUAGUGCUAGUGCUAUAUAAGAUAUGUUUCUGUUCUAAUCGGAGGCAGCUGUCUCAUCGCCUGACAACAUAAAGUGUAUUAGAUACAUAGGAGAAUAAAAGUGCAGGAAUGGAAGGGAAAAAAAGAAAAUACUAUUAUUCUUGCAGGAAUCGAUGAUACACAAAAUCAGACAAGUAUAGAUGACUCCAUUGAUGUGGAGCUUCCAGAAUCCCCACAGUCUGGUGAUCAACAGAGAGUGACAGAGUCUGUGUAUUUUCUAGCAAAUGUCCCGUCAUCCAACGCCACAGGUGAACCACCGAAAGAUAAUGAGGGUGUUUAUUACCUAGCAGCACAUUCAACAUCCAACGAUCAGGACCAGGAUUAACCUGUUUACAAAAUGAUCCAGAAGCCAGAACACAGCACCUGAAAUUUAUCCUAAUGAAAUUAUUAUUAAUAUUAAUAUGUACAUAGUCAGUAAUUAUUUUCAUUUCUUUUUUUAUGUACACUUUGUUUUUUAUUGUAUUGCUUACUUAUCAUAAACAUAUGCCACAUGUUGUUCACUUCCUGUUCUUGGUGAAUAAGUUGAAACUUUAACAUCAGCCAGUGUUUGUGUAAUACUUUGAUAUAAAUAUAGACUAUUGCGCAAAACUUUAUUUUUUACUGCAUGCUGACAAAAUGUACAUCUUUGUCCAUGUCUGAGCUCAUAUCCUAUUUAGGAUAAUAAAAAGAUACAAAAACAGCUAGUCAGAGUGACUCUGUCUUUAACUGAAUGUAUUUUAUGCUCUUUAUACUUUAUAUAGUCAAAAUUACACCGAUCAGCCAUAACAUCAUGACCACCCACCUAAC
Long non-coding RNA from Clarias gariepinus (North African catfish), 1158 nucleotides. RefSeq lists it as uncharacterized. The transcript is spliced from 4 exons. The record is from RefSeq and is a predicted model, not a curated record. Lineage: Eukaryota; Metazoa; Chordata; Actinopteri; Siluriformes; Clariidae.